AGCUCCAAUAGCGUAUAUUAAAGUUGUUGCAGUUAAAAAGCUCGUAGUUGGAUCUCGGGUCCAGGCCUGCGGUGCGCUUCGCGGCGUCUACUGCUCGUCCUGACCUACCAUCCGGUUUUCCCUUGGUGCUCUUGACUGAGUGUCUCGGGUGGCCGGAACGUUUACUUUGAAAAAAUUAGAGUGUUCAAAGCAGGCAAUUUGCCUGAAUAAUGGUGCAUGGAAUAAUGGAAUAGGACCUCGGUUCUAUUUUGUUGGUUUUCGGAACUUGAGGUAAUGAUUAAGAGGGACGGACGGGGGCAUUCGUAUUACGGUGUUAGAGGUGAAAUUCUUGGAUCGCCGUAAGACGAACAACUGCGAAAGCAUUUGCCAAGAAUGUUUUCA
Molecule: ribosomal RNA, 381 nt
Filed under: marine Metazoa environmental sample
Lineage: Eukaryota; Metazoa
Description: SSU rRNA
Rfam family: Eukaryotic small subunit ribosomal RNA
Source: RNAcentral